UCGUGUAUUUGAUAUUACAUCCCAAUGACCGCUCUCGUUUCUUAUCUUUCUCCAAUUCUUCAUAGAAAAAAAUCUCAGAUAAAUUAUAUUUUUUUCCUCUAAUUCUUGAUUUUUGGUUAAUGGAAACUGCAUUAAGAGAAUUAAAAGUUAGAGUUAAUUACAAACAUCGGAUUUUGCUCAAUCUGAUUGCAAAACAAAACAAGAGGAGCCAUCAAUAUUAGUACUUGUUAAAAAAAUGUUGAAAAAUCUUUCUAAAUAAGUUUCAGUUAUACCCGUCCAAACCUCUUUCUGAGCACACAUUGGUGGAACAACAAAAAUGGAUGUCUCCUGCAGAUCAGCUGUCAUUGCUCCUGGCUUAGCCAUAGCGUCUGCUACUCCAUUCUGGUUUAUCUGGAACCUCCCUAAUCUUCUUAUUCUUGACCUGCAUUCAUCAAGUAAAUCAUCAUAGAGUAAGUUAUCGAAUUUCAGCAUGGUUAUUACUUCCUUGAAGUCUAUGUUGAUUUUGAGAGGCGUGAGAUGACGAUCUUCAACUAAUCUCAGACCCUCUACUAACAUAUUUAUAUUUACUUCUUGUAAAUCUAACUCAAGAAAAUAAAUUUGAAUAAGAUUGGGAAGUUGGAUAGAUAGCGAGAGUGGGGUAAAAAAAAAAUUUUUGAAUUUAAUUUUUUUAAAAAUAAAAUUUUAUUUUUUGGGGAGGGGUGUGGGGUAGGGGAUCGGAGGUUAGGAUGGGGUUGAGGUAAGACUUUUUUAAAGAAUAUAUAUAUUUUUUUAAAAAAAUAACUUUUUGGGAAAGGGGUAUGCCAUAGGGUGGGAUGGGGGGCCAGUUAGAUGAUACGAUAAAUACGUAAAAAUACAGGAAAAGGCACAAAACAUACACCAAAACAAUCCACAAGUUCAAAGAACAAAUACAACAAGAAUACAAAAUAAAAAUGGUGUAUUUCACACCAAAACAGCCAACAACAAAACAAUAACGUGAAGAACAAGAUGAACAGCAAUAACACAAGUUUCAGAUUCAAUAAAGGACCCAAAACAAUCCACUACACAAGAUAACAACAACAAAAGUAAAGAUAGAAAGUGAGACAUAUAUUAUUACAAGGCCUAAGAACUAAGGUGUGUAUUAAACACCUAAACCCUUAGAAACAUGUAACAAGAACACCUAUACUCUUCGUGGACACAAGAGGGACCUCAAUCUCCCAAGCACCCAACGUUCCAAGCCAAUAACAAAAAACACAAGUGAUUCCAUGCUUGGUGUUCACCUAAUUUCGGAUUUGCUGCUUAGAGAAGAGAGGACUUGUGUUACACACUCUCAAAAUAUCAUAAAUAACUGAUGAAUGAAACCCUAAGUGGUUCUAUAUAUAGUAUAUUACAAAGUGGAAGUCAAAAAUUACCAAAAGACCCUUGUAUGAGUGGGCGCCUAUCAAGUGUAAUAUGUUGGCUGAUUUUUGGUGCAUUUAGGUCCUCUUUUGCACUUCAAUUGCACACACCAAGUCUUGGAUCCAACAUAUGCCCUCAUGAGUCCGUCUGCAUGAUUGUACGUGUAUCAUCCUCCCCUUCUUGAAAAGGAUUCGACCUUGAAUCCGCACCUUGCAAAAUCAAGAGAAGACAAACAAGUACACAUCCUUAUGACACGAGGUUAGGGUUAGCAAAAUAAACAAUUAGCAUUAUUAUGCCAGGGUGGUACAUACUUGAAGUACAGCCAAGGAUCAUUUAUGUUAAUUAUGAAAAGCUUUUGUACAACAUCACAAAGGAAAGAUCUUG
This 1758-nucleotide long non-coding RNA is filed under the name Capsicum annuum. RNAcentral describes it as "long non-coding RNA (CANN_LNC004846)". The record is from RNAcentral. Lineage: Eukaryota; Viridiplantae; Streptophyta; Magnoliopsida; Solanales; Solanaceae.